Molecule: RNase P RNA, 442 nt
Filed under: Nostoc sp. TH1S01
Lineage: Bacteria; Bacillati; Cyanobacteriota; Cyanophyceae; Nostocales; Nostocaceae
Description: RNase P RNA component class A
Rfam family: Bacterial RNase P class A
About the family: Ribonuclease P (RNase P) is a ubiquitous endoribonuclease, found in archaea, bacteria and eukarya as well as chloroplasts and mitochondria.
Source: RNAcentral
GAGAGUAGGCGCUGGCAGUUGCAGAACUGUCAUUAUGAUAGUUUUGAGGAAAGUCCGGGCUCCCAAAAGACCAAACUUGCUGGAUAACGUCCAGUGCGAGCGAUCGUGAGGAUAGUGCCACAGAAAGAUACCGCCAAAAUCAGUGAACAGUGAACAGUAAACAGUAACCAGUGAAAACCUGAUAACUGAUAACUGAUAACUGAUAACUGAAAAUGGUAAGGGUGCAAAGGUGCGGUAAGAGCGCACCAGCAGCGUCGAGAGGCGCUGGCUCGGUAAACCCCGGUUGGGAGCAAGGUCAAAGGAACUAAGGUUGGUCUUUUACCAGUUCCGUGUAUCAGAGCCGCUAGAGGCGUUUGGUAACAAGCGUCCCAGAUAGAUAACUGCCAUCAUGUAAAAUUUUUUACAUAGAUAACAGAACCCGGCUUACUACCAACUCUCUCUC